GACGAACGCUGGCGGCGUGCUUAACACAUGCAAGUCGAACGGAAAGGCCCUGCUUUUGUGGGGUGCUCGAGUGGCGAACGGGUGAGUAACACGUGAGUAACCUGCCCUUGACUUUGGGAUAACUUCAGGAAACUGGGGCUAAUACCGGAUAGGAGCUCCUGCUGCAUGGUGGGGGUUGGAAAGUUUCGGCGGUUGGGGAUGGACUCGCGGCUUAUCAGCUUGUUGGUGGGGUAGUGGCUUACCAAGGCUUUGACGGGUAGCCGGCCUGAGAGGGUGACCGGCCACAUUGGGACUGAGCUACGGCCCAGACUCCUCCGGGAGGCAGCAGUGGGGACUAUUGCACAAUGGGCGGAAGCCUGAUGCAGCAACGCCGCGUGCGGGAUGACGGCCUUCGGGUUGUAAACCGCUUUCGCCUGUGACGAAGCGUGAGUGACGGUAAUGGGUAAAGAAGCACCGGCUAACUACGU
Molecule: ribosomal RNA, 467 nt
Filed under: uncultured bacterium
Lineage: Bacteria
Description: partial 16S ribosomal RNA
Rfam family: Bacterial small subunit ribosomal RNA
Source: RNAcentral